AGAGUUGAUCCUGGCUUAGGAUUAACGCUGGCGGCGUGCCUAAUACAUGCAAGUCGAAUGGUAGCAAUACCAUGGCGAACGGGUGAGUAACACGUAGGUAACCUGUCUUUAAGCCGAGGAUAACCAUUGGAAACGAUGGAUAAUACUGGAUAGGACAUUUGAAGGCAUCUUUAAAUGUUUAAAGAUUUAUCACUUAGAGAGGGGCCUGCGGCGCAUUAGCUAGUUGGUGAGGUGAAGGCUUACCAAGGCGAUGAUGCGUAGCCGGACUGAGAGGUUGAACGGCCACAAUGGAACUGAGAACGGUCCAUACUCCUACGGGAGGCAGCAGUAGGGAAUUUUCGGCAAUGGGCGGAAGCCUGAACCCGAGCAACGCCGCGUGAACGAAGAAGUAUUUCGGUAUGUAAAGUUCUUUUAUUAGGGACGAAAAGACAGAUUGACGGUACCUAAUGAAUAAGCUCCGGCUAACUACGUGCCAGCCGCUGC
RNAcentral lists this ribosomal RNA (483 nucleotides) under uncultured bacterium. RNAcentral's name for it is "bacterial SSU rRNA". It matches the Rfam family "Bacterial small subunit ribosomal RNA", at positions 8 to 518 of the family's 1533-position model. The record is from RNAcentral.